CAAUAAAAUAAUAUAUUUACAGGGUGAGAUGAAAAAACUGCAAUCAACUUCAGACUGCUGUCAUUUCUAAGUCACUCGUCUGACAGCUGUUAAAAUUAUUCCAGUGACAGCUCAUUAUAUUGUUUGCAAUCGUACAAAAGCAUUUUGGUGAGAUAUUUUCAGAAAAAAGUUAUUCGUGAUGAAAUUUAAGCGUGAUAGUGUGAUUUCUUUAUAUUUGACUAGAAAACCACAAGUGGCUAUCGUUAAAGCUCUCCAGCAUUUAAAUGUGAAUAAAUCGUUUGUGUCUCGUACCAUCGCUCGUUACCUUGAUAAUGGUAGAGUAGCCCGACGUCAAGGAAGUGGACGGAAGAAAACAGCAACAUCAGCAGAAAUGGUUCGAAAAUGGUGAACUGCCGAAUUUGGUUUUCUCCGAUGAGAAAACAUUCGUUGUCCCGCAAUUUGUAAACCAACAAUAUGAUCGUGUUUACUUGCCAAAGAGGUCAGCUGAAAAUGUGCACCUUCGGUUGGCCAUCAGAACUCAAUCGCCGGCCAUGGUGUGGGCCGCCAUAACAGCAGAUGGUCGUUCUCCGCUCGCAUUAAUCGACCCUGGCAUCAGAAUAAA
Musca vetustissima is the source of this 601-nucleotide long non-coding RNA. RefSeq lists it as uncharacterized. The transcript is spliced from 3 exons. The record is from RefSeq and is a predicted model, not a curated record. Lineage: Eukaryota; Metazoa; Arthropoda; Insecta; Diptera; Muscidae.